This is a transfer RNA of Felis catus (domestic cat), 73 nucleotides long. It matches the Rfam family "tRNA". Rfam says of the family: Transfer RNA (tRNA) molecules are approximately 80 nucleotides in length. Their secondary structure includes four short double-helical elements and three loops (D, anti-codon, and T loops). Further hydrogen bonds mediate the characteristic L-shaped molecular structure. tRNAs have two regions of fundamental functional importance: the anti-codon, which is responsible for specific mRNA codon recognition, and the 3' end, to which the tRNAs corresponding amino acid is attached (by aminoacyl-tRNA synthetases). tRNAs cope with the degeneracy of the genetic code in two manners: having more than one tRNA (with a specific anti-codon) for a particular amino acid; and 'wobble' base-pairing, i.e. permitting non-standard base-pairing at the 3rd anti-codon position. The record is from Rfam. Lineage: Eukaryota; Metazoa; Chordata; Mammalia; Carnivora; Felidae.
GCCUGGCUGGCUUAGUUGGUAGAGCAUGUGACUCUUGAUUUCAGGGUCAUGAGUUCAAGCCCCAUGUUGGGUG